GAUGAACGCUAGCGGCAGGCCUAAUACAUGCAAGUCGAACGGUGUCUUCGGACAUAGUGGCGCACGGGUGCGUAACACGUAUGCAACCUACCUUACAUUGGGGGAUAGCCUUUCGAAAGGGAGAUUAAUACCGCAUAAGACAGUAGCUGGGCAUCCAGCAGCUGUUAAAGAUUUAUCGAUGUAAGCUGGGCAUGCGUCCAUUUAGCUAGUUGGUGGGGUAACGGCACACCAAGGCAAUGAUUGGUAGGGGAACUGAGAGGUCAAUCCCCCACAUUGGCACGGAGAAAGGAGCCAGACGCCUAGGGGAGGCAGCAGUAGGGAUUAUUGGGAAAUGGAGGCAAGUCUGACCCAGCCAGGCCGCGUGCAGAAUGAAGGCGUUAGGGGUUGUAAACUGUUUUUAUACAGGAAGAAACUACUCUUGCGAGAGGCAUUGACGGUACCGUAUGAAUAAGCACCGGCUAACUCCGUGCCAGCAGCCGCCGUAA
This 485-nucleotide ribosomal RNA is filed under the name uncultured bacterium. Its description in RNAcentral is "partial 16S ribosomal RNA". It matches the Rfam family "Bacterial small subunit ribosomal RNA", at positions 28 to 523 of the family's 1533-position model. The record is from RNAcentral.